UGGUUCUGGCAUCGAUGAAGAACGCAGCGAAAUGCGAUAAGUAAUGUGAAUUGCAGAAUUCAGUGAAUCAUCGAAUUUUUGAACGCACAUUGCGCCCCCUGGUAUUCCGGGGGGCAUGCCUGUUCGAGCGUCAUUUCAACCCUCAAGCUCUGCUUGGUGAUGGGGCACCGCCUGUGAAAGGGCGGGCCCUGAAAUCCAGUGGCGAGCUCGCCAGGACCCCGAGCGUAGUAGUUAUAUCUCGUUCUGGAAGGCCCUGGCGGUGCCCUGCCGUUAAACCCCCAAAUUCUGAAAUUUUGACCUCGGAUCAGGUAGGAAUACCCGCUGA
This 325-nucleotide unclassified non-coding RNA is filed under the name uncultured fungus. RNAcentral describes it as "partial contains 5.8S ribosomal RNA and internal transcribed spacer 2". The stretch from base 1 to 133 matches the Rfam family "5.8S ribosomal RNA", at positions 22 to 154 of the family's 154-position model. Lineage: Eukaryota; Fungi. The record is from RNAcentral.